Molecule: long non-coding RNA, 2722 nt
Organism: Dreissena polymorpha
Lineage: Eukaryota; Metazoa; Mollusca; Bivalvia; Myida; Dreissenidae
Exons: 16
Source: RefSeq, a predicted model, not a curated record
GUUUUGCUUUUAGGUUGGAGACUACAUAAGACUUUGACAGUUGGCGGGAAACCAUCAUCAACUGGAGAGAUGCCGGAAGAGGAAUGUCUGCGACUAAGUCAAGGGCCACUGGAUAAGGGUUGUUGAUGGCAAAACAGGUUGGAGACUACAUAAGACUUUGACAGUUGGCGGGAAACCAUCAUCAACUGGAGAGAUGCCGGAAGAGGAAUGUCUGCGACUAAGUCAAGGGCCACUGGAUAAGGGUUGUUGAUGGCAAAACAGGUUGGAGACUACAUAAGACUUUGACAGUUGGCGGGAAACCAUCAUCAACUGGAGAGAUGCCGGAAGAGGAAUGUCUGCGACUAAGUCAAGGGCCACUGGAUAAGGGUUGUUGAUGGCAAAACAGGUUGGAGACUACAUAAGACUUUGACAGUUGGCGGGAAACCAUCAUCAACUGGAGAGAUGCCGGAAGAGGAAUGUCUGCGACUAAGUCAAGGGCCACUGGAUAAGGGUUGUUGAUGGCAAAACAGGUUGGAGACUACAUAAGACUUUGACAGUUGGCGGGAAACCAUCAUCAACUGGAGAGAUGCCGGAAGAGGAAUGUCUGCGACUAAGUCAAGGGCCACUGGAUAAGGGUUGUUGAUGGCAAAACAGGUUGGAGACUACAUAAGACUUUGACAGUUGGCGGGAAACCAUCAUCAACUGGAGAGAUGCCGGAAGAGGAAUGUCUGCGACUAAGUCAAGGGCCACUGGAUAAGGGUUGUUGAUGGCAAAACAGGUUGGAGACUACAUAAGACUUUGACAGUUGGCGGGAAACCAUCAUCAACUGGAGAGAUGCCGCACUAUGGUGUGCGCUUAUGAUGGAGCCAGGCCGUUGUGAGGUGCAUAAACGCAGCGUGCCUUUAGGCGACGUACGAGCGACGCGAGGCCGUCAAUACAUUGAUGCCACUUGAUGCGAAAGUUAGUGGCAAUUCCAUUUCUGCCCGGAAUACAGAUUACGCUUUCAACAGGUAUGCUGACCGGGCAAUGUCAAUAGAGACAGAAGCCGUCUUUGACUAUGUUCUUUCAACCUGGCUGGACAGUACCGUAUGGAAUACUGGUCCAUGAACCGGAAAACAUUGGGAAGUAACAAAGAUGCAGAAGCCAUGUUAUAAAUUCGAUAGCGCGCGUUAGUUAAGCCCGGAAGUCGAUUAGACGUAGCGCUGCGAUGUCAUCGUCUAGAAGAAGACUGGCGAGUUGCCGGUGUCGCUUCUCCGGUGUGCCUUCUUCCUGUAUUCCCUAGUUAAGUGACAGAAAAAGUGCGCAUUCCAGUUUUCGAUAGACAGGAAUGAAUUUCUGUGUUCUUGCGUAUAGUCCAUUUUGUUUUAUUUCCUUAGCCUGGUAUAUUGUUCCUAAACCAAGAGAUACAUCUUUAUUUUGAACAAAUAUACUGUAUUAGGCCAUAUAAAACAAUCUUUUAUAACAGUCAAAUUACAUAUAAUCGUUAAGUAUAGAAUGCAUGUUUAUCUAUAUUUUAACUCAGCGAAAAUCUUCUACUUGAACAUUGGAACCUUACAUAAAUUUCAAGAUGCACAAACAAUGAUGAUCUCACCUCUCCGUGUCUGACCCCGAACCUCAGCGGCCUGCGCAGCCUCUCUGGUAGGUAUGGGCAGAAAACGUCGAAGAACGGACAUACCAGCUUAGGGUCAAGCUCCUUCGGAUCCUGAAUGCCACGGUUACACGAAUCAAACCAGUAAGGAACACAUGAAGGCAUUUAAAAUUGCUUAACAUAUUAAGGCAUUCAUAAAUGGUUUUAAGUAAGAAACCAUGCAUGUGUUUUUUAAAGUACAUGCAUUCGAAUUAAAAGUCGUCUUAUAUAAAUCACACGGGGAUUUGCACCAGGAUUUCAAACAAUCUAGUUGAUCAAUUUUUUUCUUAUAAACCGGUUGCCGCUCUUUGAUUUUAAAGCAAAUUUAUUGUGCUAAGAGUACUAAACAGAGUACCAUAUUUUUUUCAAAAUAAAACAAGCCAACGAACAGACCGCUACACCAGUCACUGUUGAAGUUUAAAAUAAACUUGCAAUAAUGUCAAUACGGGUCUCUAUAAUUAAACAUAUGGUUGUACUUGAAAACAAUGCCCCAUCGUUAUUGACGAACGUCUCGAACAAAUGACUCACCGGUGACAAUGCUGACAAGGAGGCCGAUAACGACGCACGUGAGCACGGCAAUGGCACUGUACCACAUGUAGGACACCGUGUAAAGGCGGUUGAUACCACUGCGAAUUGAAAUAUAGUUAUCAUACAUAGUCUACAGGUAUGCACCUGUUUUAUACUCAUAACAAAUAGGGAAUUAAUUAAUUAAUUGUGAUGAUUCUGUUUGUGGUUGUUGGUUCAAACUGAAAAAGACCUUUGUUCUGAACAUAAUUAUUUAAAUAUGCAAGUUGAAGCUUAGUGAUGUCACCGCACUUAAAACAAUGACUUACUCGUAUUUAUCAUAAUUCGAAGUGACGGGAUGCGCAAAGUCCGGCGUGGUGGUCGGUAGGAGAGGGAUGGGGGUCUUUUUGUUAAUAGCAGUCCAGUUGCAGCCGACAGUCUCCAACGGCGGCGUGAUCACAACGCUGGUUCUUGUGAUAGCUUGGCCAAGUCCACUCCAGAGCAGAAGAGAUAGACUGGUUGCCAGUCCUACAAAUCCACCCUGAACACGAGAACAGUUAAUAACAGGAGAAUAUUUUCAUACUCAUACAUGUUCAUUGUAUGUUAAAAAAA